RNAcentral lists this ribosomal RNA (229 nucleotides) under uncultured bacterium. RNAcentral describes it as "partial 16S ribosomal RNA". It matches the Rfam family "Bacterial small subunit ribosomal RNA", at positions 568 to 796 of the family's 1533-position model. The record is from RNAcentral.
AGUGUAGGCGGCUAUUUAAGUCGGAUGUGAAAGCCCCGGGCUCAACCUGGGAAUUGCAUUCGAAACUGGGUAGCUAGAGUUUGGUAGAGGUAAGUGGAAUUCCAGGUGUAGCGGUGAAAUGCGUAGAUAUCUGGAGGAACAUCAGUGGCGAAGGCGGCUUACUGGACCAAAACUGACGCUGAGGCUCAAAAGCGUGGGGAGCAAACAGGAUUAGAUACCCUGGUAGUCC